UUUAUUUAAAUGGAAUAAGAACUGAGGGGGACAGAGGAGAAGGACUGUUGCAGCCGACAAAGCAUGGUGACCCAGCUUGUCACCCAGUGACCUGUGAGAAGGAAAUAAUGAACUGAGCUGUUUUCCACAUGAGUGCUGUCUUCACCCAGGCAUACAUCCGCAGAACGGUGGAGGUCAGGGUGAUGAAGGAGGAGCGGGCUUGGCGGCACACAUGCACUCUAUUCCUG
This 227-nucleotide long non-coding RNA is filed under the name Gallus gallus (chicken). Lineage: Eukaryota; Metazoa; Chordata; Aves; Galliformes; Phasianidae. The record is from RNAcentral.